RNAcentral lists this unclassified non-coding RNA (325 nucleotides) under soil metagenome. Its description in RNAcentral is "partial contains 5.8S ribosomal RNA, internal transcribed spacer 2, and large subunit ribosomal RNA". The stretch from base 2 to 121 matches the Rfam family "5.8S ribosomal RNA", at positions 35 to 154 of the family's 154-position model. The record is from RNAcentral.
GGAUGAAGAACGUAGCGAAAUGCGAUAAGUAAUGCGAAUUGCAGAAUUCAGUGAGUCAUCGAAUCUUUGAACGCACAUUGCGCCCUGUGGUAUUCCGCAGGGCAUGCCUGUUCGAGCGUCAUUUCAACCCUCAAGCCUCGCUUGGUGUUGGGCCCUGCCCGCCGCGGCCGGCCCUAAAGAUAGUGGCGGCGCCGCCUGGCCCUCAGCGUAGUACAGCUCUCGCUCCAGGGUCCGGCGGCAGCCUGCCAGAACCCCCCAACUCUGUGGUUGACCUCGGAUCAGGUAGGGAUACCCGCUGAACUUAAGCAUAUCAAUAAGCGGAGGA